AACGAACGCUGGCGGCAUGCCUAACACAUGCAAGUCGAACGAGGCCUUCGGGUUUAGUGGCGCACGGGGGCGUAACGCGUGGGAACUUGCCCUUAGGUUCCGAAUAACUCCCCGAAAGGGGUGCUAAUACCGCAUAAUGUCUUCGGACCAAAGAUUUAUCGCCUCUGGUUGGGCCUGCGUUGGAUUAGCCAGUUGGUAGGGUACAAGCCUACCAAGGCGAGGAUCCAUAGCUGGUCUGAGAGGAGGCACAGCGGCACUGGGACUGGGACAAGGCCCAGACGGGUGCGAGAGGCGGCAGUGAGGAAUAAUGGAGAGUGAGCGAAAGCCAGAACCGGCAAUGCCGGGUGAAUGAUGAAGGCGUUAGGGUUGGAAAGCGCUUUUACCCGGGAGGAUGAGAACGUAACCGGUAGAGUAAGCUCGGCUAAACACGGG
Molecule: ribosomal RNA, 432 nt
Filed under: uncultured bacterium
Lineage: Bacteria
Description: partial 16S ribosomal RNA
Rfam family: Bacterial small subunit ribosomal RNA
Source: RNAcentral